GACGAACGCUGGCGGCGUGCCUAAUACAUGCAAGUAGAACGCUGAAGAGAGGAGCUUGCUCUUCUUGGAUGAGUUGCGAACGGGUGAGUAACGCGUAGGUAACCUGCCUUGUAGCGGGGGAUAACUAUUGGAAACGAUAGCUAAUACCGCAUAACAAUGGAUGACCCAUGUCAUUUAUUUGAAAGGGGCAAAUGCUCCACUACAAGAUGGACCUGCGUUGUAUUAGCUAGUAGGUGAGGUAACGGCUCACCUAGGCGACGAUACAUAGCCAACCUGAGAGGGUGAUCGGCCACACUGGGACUGAGACACGGCCCAGACUCCUACGGGAGGCAGCAGUAGGGAAUCUUCGGCAAUGGGGGCAACCCUGACCGAGCAACGCCGCGUGAGUGAAGAAGGUUUUCGGAUCGUAAAGCUCUGUUGUAAGUCAAGAACGAGUGUGAGAGUGGAAAGUUCACACUGUGACGGUAGCUUACCAGAAAGGGACGGCUAACUACGUG
This 497-nucleotide ribosomal RNA is filed under the name uncultured bacterium. Its description in RNAcentral is "partial 16S ribosomal RNA". It matches the Rfam family "Bacterial small subunit ribosomal RNA", at positions 28 to 507 of the family's 1533-position model. The record is from RNAcentral.